CUGACCAGGAAUGAGCAAGCCAACACUGAGAAAAGUCAAUACCGAGGCUGAAGUCACAGAGCUGGGUCAUCAUGAAUUUUGGCCUGAUUUGCUGAAAGCAG
Molecule: long non-coding RNA, 101 nt
Organism: Hipposideros armiger (great roundleaf bat)
Lineage: Eukaryota; Metazoa; Chordata; Mammalia; Chiroptera; Hipposideridae
Exons: 3
Source: RefSeq, a predicted model, not a curated record